This is a long non-coding RNA of Macrobrachium nipponense, 2400 nucleotides long. RefSeq lists it as uncharacterized. The transcript has 3 exons. The record is from RefSeq and is a predicted model, not a curated record. NCBI's taxonomy places the organism in Eukaryota, Metazoa, Arthropoda, Malacostraca, Decapoda, Palaemonidae.
GACAUUCAAUCGAUGAGCGUUGGUAACUCUAGAACUUAUUACAGUUACGGGCGGAAGGUGACCGUGUGUGAGCAUUCAGGCGGAGGAAUAUUUUCCAGUUCCCAAGUCCAUCCUGGAAGUUCACCGUGUUGUCAAAAAUCUUCGAAGGUUUUGUGGAAUCUUCAUGAAAAAUUUUGUGGCCUGUGUUUUUAAUCGCUGAUGUGGUAAAUGGAAGCUUGGCUAGAUGUCAAUACCCAUUAUCCAUGAGAAUAAGUAAGCUGCCUACGUGGUCAGAUUAAGAAGCAGGAAACUGUGGAGCAUGAAGUGCCUUAAAUUCCUAUAAAUCUGGAUACACUUGACAAGCAAAGGCUACUUAAACAGUUUUUCAUGAAGGCGAAAAAUGGCCAGUUAAUGACGGUGGAGAUUCCCCUCAACAUGUCAGUCCGCUGAAACUUCAAACGUUUUCUGCUUUCUGUUGAAGAUCUGGAGCUGCAACAUUUUCAGCCCUAUGAUGGAGAAAUGAAGUCACAAACGCUUUGCAGCUCGUCAUUCAUCUUAGUUUUCCAAAGAGGAAAAUAGACCACCAGAAACGCCAAUAUAAUUCAAUCAGUGGAAUGAAAGAAGUCUCGUCUGUGUGAUGUGAUCGUUUUACCAAGAUUUCAAGUAGGAUAUUGGCGUUGGUGAUUGGCCGUUCACUUAUAUUUCUAGGUCACAUCUUCAUAUUCCUCAUAAAAAUCGAGGUUUGUACCAUAGGAAAAGAAGUAUAUAUCAUGACUAUUUCAUUGUGAAACCCUUUUCCCCAGUACUUUUUAAUUUCUGCAUCAAUAUCUAGUUUGUAUUCGUAUAGAUAAGUACAUUUUGUAUAAAAACCACCAAGCCAUUAAGUUUAAGCGUAAGGAUAAUACAGUAGAAUUUUUUAUUAACACCAUUCAAGAAAUGAACAUAAAAUACAAUAAUUUUAUAUAGACACCAUUCAACACAGGAACGUAAAGUACAGUUACUAUAUGAACGCCAUUCAAGACAUGAACAUAUAGUACAGCAAUUUCAUGUAAAUGCUAUUCAGGACAUGAACGCAAAGUCAAAACCUCAUAUCGGUGCCAUUAAAGCAUAAAGUACAAUAAUUUGAUAUACACAUUCCAAACAUGAACGUAUAGUACAGUAUUUUUUUUUUAUAAAUGUUAUUCAAGAAAUGAACAUAAAGUACAUUAAUUGCAUAUAGAUGCCAUUCAAGACACGAAUGUAAAGUAGAAUAGUUUUAUAUAGCUGCCAUUUAAGAUAUGAACGAAAAGUGCAAAAGCUUUGUAUAGACUCCAUUCAAGACAUGAACGUAAAGUACAAUAACUUUUUAUGUAUAAACGCCAUUCAAGACAAACAUAUAGUACAGUAAUUUUAUACAAACUUUUCAAGAAACUAAUGUGAAGUACAAUGAUUUUAUGUAAAUGCCAUUCAAGAUACGAACACCAAGUACUAUAACUAUAUGAAAGCCGUUCAUAUAAACGCUAUUCAAGACACCGCCAAAUUAACGUCAAGCACAGUACUAAUUUAAUAAAAAGUCAUUCAAGACAUGAUCGUGAAGUAUAACAACUAUUAGACGCCAUUCAAGACAAACUCGGCAUUUCAUACAGACGCCAUUCAAGACUUUAACAAUGUACAAAAUAUAUUUAUAAACAGUUCUUCAGUGCAUGAUCAAUAUCUAAACUAGUGGAAUAUCCCACUCGGGUUGACAGUUGAAAAUUUUUUUCAUGCAAAUUACCACAAAGUAAUAAGUAUACACAGAUGAUUGCCUUGAUUUCCCUAUGGUACAGUAGCCACACGGUCCGUGAGUAGCCAUUACUCUAUUAUUCAUUAAAUGUAAUUACCGUUGAAUUGUCUUCAAUUCCCUAAAUAUUCUUGGCCUUUCCACUUCACCCAAACUUUUACAUCUCGCUGACAUUCUGGGCUCUUGAAUAUUUGGCUGUCGAGAGAGAUUUAUUUUUAUUAAAUGUACUUAUGUAUACGAAUAAAAGUUUUUAAUGCAGAAAGUAUAAGUUCUAGUGAAAAAACAAGUUUCAGGAUGAAGCUAUUUUCUGAUAAUGUACUUUUUUCAUAUGAUCCAGACGGUAUUUUUAUAGAAUGUAUGGAGGUGUGGACUGCAUGUGCUUGUAAUGUGUGAAUGGUUUAUCACCAAUGUCAACGUCUUUAGAACUUUGUUAAAUUACCACAUUAUGCUGGUGGCCAAUCUUUUCAUUCUACUAGUAUGUUAGUCAUUAUUAGUAGUUUAUGUGAAUUGAUCUGAAGGUGGUAUUGCUUCGGUCAUGUCUAGAUCGAGGUAAAAUUGUGUUGCAUACACCCAGGACCCACUGCGGACACAUGUUGCCAGGAGACUUCUGGGAAAACUUUUCGAGACAUGUAAAUCUUGAGAAAAUAAAACUAAGCAAUAUA